Molecule: ribosomal RNA, 468 nt
Filed under: uncultured bacterium
Lineage: Bacteria
Description: partial 16S ribosomal RNA
Rfam family: Bacterial small subunit ribosomal RNA
Source: RNAcentral
GACGAACGCUGGCGGCGUGCUUAACACAUGCAAGUCGAACGGAAAGGCCCUGCUUUUGGGGGAUUCGCGUGGCGCAAGGGGGAGUAUAACGCGGGUGUAACCUGCCCCUCACUGGGGUAUAACUGCGGGAAACGGGGGCUUACAGCGGAUGAGAGCUCCUUCGUCAGGUGGGUGGAUGGAUAUUUUGGGCGGUGGGGGAUGGACUCGCGGCUUAUCAGCUUGUUGGUGGGGUAGUGGCUUACCAAGGCAUUGACGGGUAGCCGGCCUGAGAGGGUGAACGGCCACAUUGGGACUGAGAUACGGCCCAGACUCCUACGGGAGGCAGCAGUGGGGAAUAUUGCACAAUGGGCGGAAGCCUGAUGCAGCGACGCCGCGUGCGGGAUGACGGCCUUCGGGUUGUAAACCGCUUUCGCUUGUGACGAAGCGUGAGUGACGGUAAUGGGUAAAGAAGCACCGGCUAACUACGUG